AAUAUCAUCGUCGUUGUCGUUGUCGUUGUCGGACUAUGUUCACAAAGUUUAACAUUCAGUACUUUUGAAUACUUUGCGGCGUCGUGAACUGAUCGCUCUCGAAGAAGUGUUGAUCGUGCGAAGUUGUAACAUUUAUAUCUACACUUACAUCAAGUUAAAUGAGAACUCUAACCGGCAGCGCUCCAGCUGAAUUGUGAAUUUUGAACGUGCAAAACAAGAAAGGAAAUAAAUAAUUCAACAAAAUUUAGUGAAGUUGCGAGAAAGUUGAAAUUUUAUAUAUAACUACAUAAUAUACUAUACAUAUAUUUGUAUAUGAAAAAGUGUUUUCAAAAAUUAUUUUAAAGUAUAAAAAAAUACUAAUUAUAACAUCAACCACAAAUAUUAAGGUGUGCAUUUUAUUGAAAAAGGCGCGUUCAACAAAUUUUUUCAUCCGUCCUGUGGAAAUUAGCUCCGCCAUGUCCCACCCAUCACAUCUACCUCCACAACCGAUCCCCAUUGCGGUGAUAAAUCGUGGCGCACCACAAACAACGGCCGAUCGGCGUGCAAGCUUUGCGCGUCGCGCUGAAAGUUUGGUGGAGCGGGUGAGAGUAUUGAAUCAAAUA
Long non-coding RNA from Anastrepha obliqua, 602 nucleotides. RefSeq lists it as uncharacterized. The transcript has 3 exons. The record is from RefSeq and is a predicted model, not a curated record. NCBI's taxonomy places the organism in Eukaryota, Metazoa, Arthropoda, Insecta, Diptera, Tephritidae.